Molecule: ribosomal RNA, 701 nt
Filed under: Pontibacter sp.
Lineage: Bacteria; Pseudomonadati; Bacteroidota; Cytophagia; Cytophagales; Hymenobacteraceae
Description: bacterial SSU rRNA
Rfam family: Bacterial small subunit ribosomal RNA
Source: RNAcentral
UCGAACGAAUCUGAGUCCUUCGGGACUCAGGUUAGUGGCGCACGGGUGCGUAACGCGUAUGCAACCUACCUUCCACUGGGGGAUAGCCCUCCGAAAGGGGGAUUAAUACCGCAUGACACAAUGAAGUGGCAUCACUUUAUUGUCAAAGCUGAGGCGGUGGAAGAUGGGCAUGCGUGCCAUUAGCUAGUUGGCGGGGUAGAGGCCCACCAAGGCGACGAUGGCUAGGGGUUCUGAGAGGAUGGUCCCCCACACUGGUACUGAGACACGGACCAGACUCCUACGGGAGGCAGCAGUAGGGAAUAUUGGGCAAUGGCCGAGAGGCUGACCCAGCCAUGCCGCGUGCAGGAAGAAGGCCUUCUGGGUUGUAAACUGCUUUUAUAUAGGAAGAAAACGCCCCUGCGGGGGUAACUGACGGUACUAUAUGAAUAAGCACCGGCUAACUCCGUGCCAGCAGCCGCGGUAAUACGGAGGGUGCGAGCGUUGUCCGGAUUUAUUGGGUUUAAAGGGUGCGUAGGCGGCCCGUUAAGUCAGCGGUGAAAUCCCACGGCUCAACCGUGGAACUGCCGUUGAUACUGGCGGGCUUGAGUUCGGUCGAGGCGGGCGGAACUGGUGGUGUAGCGGUGAAAUGCUUAGAUACCACCAAGAACCCCGAUUGCGUAGGCAGCUCGCUGGGCCGAAACUGACGCUGAGGCACGAAAGCG